This 214-nucleotide unclassified non-coding RNA is filed under the name fungal sp. RNAcentral describes it as "partial internal transcribed spacer region". Lineage: Eukaryota; Fungi. The record is from RNAcentral.
AAGUGGUAACAAGGUUUCCAGCAGUCAGUGUCGGAAAGUGUUAUUGAUUGUGCAAGGAUAGCGCUUCUACGAUUCCUGUAGACCGUACACUCGGGCAGGAGCUUUGCCAAGGGUCCCCAUGCUCCCUAAUAACCCCAUAGUUUAAUGUGAAGCUCAAUGUAAUACAUUGGGUAAACAAACCGAACAACUGUUAACAAUGGAUAUCUUGGUUCUC